Molecule: long non-coding RNA, 3282 nt
Filed under: Cucumis sativus (cucumber)
Lineage: Eukaryota; Viridiplantae; Streptophyta; Magnoliopsida; Cucurbitales; Cucurbitaceae
Description: long non-coding RNA (CSAT_LNC000646)
Source: RNAcentral
GAGAUUUGUUGUCCCUAUAUCAUACUUGAAGCAUCCUUCUUUUGUAGAUCUACUCAAUAGAUCAGAAGAAGAAUUUGGAUUUUGCCACCCAAGGGGUGGCUUGACGAUUCCAUGCCGAGAGGAUGCUUUCAUAAAUCUCACUGCUAGGCUGCACACAUCAUGAAAAUAGAAAGAACAAAAAGAAAAUGUUAUUAAUCACAGUUUUGUCAUCUCUAACUUUAGGAAGUAGAGUAGGAUAAUACUGUACAGUUACUCAGUUGUUUGAGCAAUGAUAGUUAUAUUCUUCUCUUACAAAAACGUUUCUCUUCAGCUCAUGAAUUUCAAUUUUUAUCAAUUACUUUGUUUUUCUUUCACUGCUCGAGUCCUGAGGAUUCAUAAGAAAGUAAUAUUUAUAAGGUUGAUUUUUAAAAAUCAAAUGUUGAUCAAAGGAGGCUUAAUUUUUCAAUUCUGCAUCAAAUCGUUUGUCAAUGUCAAAUAGAUCCAUGAUCUAUUCACUUGGAAAUAAAAAUGAAAGUUCAUGAACUUAUUAGAUAAGAAAUCGAAAAUUUUUGGAGAUUUAUUAGAUAAUUUGUAACCUUUCUUUAGACUAACUAACCAAUUUUCAUGGACCAUAUUUGCCUAAAAAGGAAACAACGACUAAUGUCCAAAGUUACAAUACCCAUGAAAACAAGAUUGAAUUACAAUGAAAAAAGCAUUCUAAUUAUAAUAAAGAUCUUAGAUGAAAUAAUCAACAAAACGUGCUUGAAUUGCAAAUUUAAAGAUUAAACUUGUAAUUUACCAUAAGUCAACUAACUUAUUUAAGUUCGAGUCAAGAACCAAGUAAAAGUUGUUCAUAAAAGGUUUUUUUUUUUAAGAAGACAGCCUCUUUAUUAAUACUAAAAUAAUAAUAAUGAGACAAAAGCUCAUAGUACAAGAAAAGUAUACAAUGACCAUGUAACCAUGGAUCAGGUGCAACCUGAACAUCUUAAUUAGGUUGACACCCCAUAGCACCUUCAUCAUAUCCAACCAAGCUAAAACCCAUAACAAAGGAGUAAUAUCGGAAGGCAAAACAAAGAAGUAAAGUUCAUAAAAAGUAUUUUAAACUAAUUGAGUUACAAAUAAAGUACAUUAUUGUUAAUUUGUUUGCUGUUAUUUUGUUAACAUGAAUGUCAUUGUUAAUGUUGAUUUUAAUGAUUAUAUAUUCAACCAUGUUUCAUUUAAAUAUGUUGAACAGAAAAGCAGGUUUAGGUAAAGAAUGGUAUAAUUUGUGACACAUUAUACUUAAUUUGACUUAGAAAUAUUUUGUCAUAAAGUUAGGUCAGAAUAUGUUAUUCAUGAAAUACCUAAUUUAAAGAGUUACGCUCUCAUAUGUCAUGCAUGGUUUCUACUUACUAAACCGGGCUCUAAGAAACAAAAUUAAUUCGUGUUACUGAAAUAGGAUAAUUACCUUGUAAUCUUUUGGUGAAAAAGAUACAAGACUUUCCAUUGACGGAAAAAAAGAGAUUAAUGAACUAUAAGAAAAAAAUAAAUAAAUAACAGCGGACUUAGAAGCAUAAAAAACCCCAAAACAUGACACGAACAUAACAAAGAAAACAUAAAAGAAAAAAACAGCAACUUGAGAAGACUAUAAAUGUAUCCCAGCAACAAGAAAUGUCUUGAAUUGAAAACCCGUCAAAAGAUUUGGAGAAAGAACACCAAAAAGAAGCCUUUAAACAAGUUGCAUCAAAGGGAGCAUUAGAACUUGGUGAAUCAUGGAAAAUAAGCUGAUUUCUUUCCAUCCAGAGAUCAGAAGAAUCGCCUUGACUGUGUUAUCCAAAGCAAAUAAGCUUGUGAGUGUUCCACCUCGACCCGCUUAAGAGUUAUGAAACAUUCCUCUCCAAAGAGUGAGAAAACCUUGCUAUGAUAUUUUAAUUUGUAAUAAUUUGGCCUAUAAUAUUUGAUUUGUAAUAAACUAAGUCUAUGAACUUUCACAAUUGUAGUAGUCUAAUUCUUAACCUGAAAAUUUCCAAUAUAAGUGUCAUUUUUUAUUUUCUAACAACUUAACUUUUGUAGUUGGAAAACAUUUGGUCCCUAAUCUAUUUACUGGUUAAAAGAUUCCAUUAAACUUUUUUGUAAUAUUUUUCACAAUAGACAUUGAAUCAUUACAAAUUUUUAAGUUAAAAAGUAAUAUAAAGACGAUGAAUUAAAUUGUUGCAUAAUAUUAGAGUUGAUGGACUAUUUUUUACAAAAUUUAACAUAUAAAGACUAAAUAGUCGCAAACUAAAGUUCAUUAAAUUGUUAUUUUCUAAAACUAGAUGGACCAAAAAUAAAUUUAUAUCUCAUUCUCAUUUUUCCCUUCAAAAUUUCUUCACUCCGUAGUCAUAUAUAAAUUUUCUUAAGAAAAUAACUCAAGUCAAAAAACCCAUUUUGGUAUUCAAAAUGUAAACUCCACAUGUACUAUAUAGGACGUCACUUUUUCUAUAUAUAAAAUUCCUUAUUCAAGAGAUUACUAUGAAGAAAGCUAUCAUAUCAACUAUCAAGUCAAGAUGAGAAUCUAGUUUCAAAUUUCAUGCACUUUCUCAUCUUCAAAGUAGAAACUGCUGAACUAACCUAUUCAACUUGUAUUUAUAAAGUAAAUCUUAGUUCAAUGGUAAUUAAUAUAUAUUCCUUCCAUUAGAAACAACUUUUUAUUGAAUUAAAUGAAAAGAACCUAGAAAAUUGAUAAUAAAAACAGCAAAAAGUUUACCAGUAAUCAUAUAACCACAUACAAACAAGUGGUUGAUAAGGAUAAAACAACAUACACCACAAAACCAAUGUUGACUAUAAAUAAACAAUUUUGGAUCACAAAACAUUUCCUACUCUUUUAUUUUCUUCAAAUGCUACCAAAAAAUGUCCCAAAAUAGCAAAUGGCAGUUCCACCCAUUUGAAAAUCUCAAACUGAAGAAAAAGAGAGAAAAGUUCUCCCAUUAAACCCAAAUUAACUGAUCCUACAGCUAUAAUCUCACUAUCAAUUUAACACAGAGCUAACAUGCAACCGCAAGAACAUUUCAAAGGAAUUAAACAGAAUGUACUCUUAUUUUAGAAUUAGAAAGAACAAAUUUGAAACUGCAGCCAAUUCUUUGAAUUCAAAAUGAUGCAGAAAGGUAAAAAAAAAUGACAAAAUUGAUGGAUUUACCUCUUUUUUCCCCCAUUUUUCAGGUCUGGACUCGAUUUGAUUUGGUUUGGUUUUGUUCAGAAAGUGGCAGCAAACCCAGUUUAGGGCAGAUUGUUUGGGCUUCUUCGAUUGGAUUGAUCAUUGUUGCAGCAAUGCAUUAUCGGAUUCGG